GACGUAGGAUGCGAGCGUUGUCCGGAUUUAUUGGGCGUAAAGAGUUCGUAGGUGGUUCAUUAAGUCUGGUGUUAAAGACCGGGGCUCAACCUCGGGAUCGCACUGGAUACUAGUGGACUAGAGUGCAGUAGAGGCAAGCGGAAUUCCCAGUGUAGCGGUGAAAUGCGUAGAUAUUGGGAAGAACACCGGUGGCGCAAGCGGCUUGCUGGGCUGUAACUGACACUGAGGAACGAAAGCUAGGGUAGCGAAUGGGAUUAGAUACCCCAGUAGUCCUAGCCGUAAACGAUGGAUACUAGGCGUAUCGGGUAUCGACCCCUGAUGUGCCGCAGCAAACGCGAUAAGUAUCCCGCCUGAGUAGUACGGCCGCAAGGUUGAA
This 376-nucleotide ribosomal RNA is filed under the name uncultured bacterium. RNAcentral describes it as "bacterial SSU rRNA". It matches the Rfam family "Bacterial small subunit ribosomal RNA", at positions 524 to 898 of the family's 1533-position model. The record is from RNAcentral.